Long non-coding RNA from Panicum hallii, 913 nucleotides. RefSeq lists it as uncharacterized. NCBI's taxonomy places the organism in Eukaryota, Viridiplantae, Streptophyta, Magnoliopsida, Poales, Poaceae. The transcript is spliced from 2 exons. The record is from RefSeq and is a predicted model, not a curated record.
CAUAGAACUCAGCGUGCCUUACCGGCCGUGUCCAGUCCCUGCUACCGCAUGGGAGACAUCACCAACAUUUUCUUCAGUUACAUGCUGGUUGUUUGCAACAUGAUCACCUUGUCAGGAUCAACAUUGCCAUCACCUCUUCCACCUCUCGAGCACGCAACACCUCGUCAGUCUUUCACCGAAAGUUUCUGCUAAUAACUCUAGGGGCUACUAAUAACUCUAGGGGCUAGUUUGGAAGCCUAAAAUCCCGCUGGGAACCCGACCUUUUCCCGGGGCUGGAAGCCCGCGCGGAAAUUAACCCCGGGCUAAAUUACACGGCAAUUUGGGAGCCUAUCGGACGGGGGAGGUUGACCCGAACCCUGCGAUUUCCACGGGGCGGCUCCUCCCCACCUCGAGGGUCUGGGCAAGGAUUCCCGAGUGGCGUCGCGGGCGAUUCGUCGCGAUGAAAAGAAGGCGCCGCGCCGCCACCCCGCUUCCAUCCAGCGCCGUCGUACUGCCUCCGCCGCCCCGACUCCGUCGAGCGCCACCGCUCCAUCUCCGUCCCGGUGUCGCCGCUGCUCCGCCUCUUCCCCGACUCCGUCGAGCCCCACCGCUUCCCCGUCCAGGUGUCGCCGCGCCGACCUACAACGGGGCCUCCACCUCGGCCGGCUCCUCGCAGCUUGUGUUCCUCCUUGCUUAUGCAGAGUCCGUAUCAAUCAGGGCUUAUUAUCUUAUUCCUCUCUCCUAUGUGCAGACACAGAGGAAUUGAACUGAUCUUCCAUGUUUGUGCUAUGGCUUGUGGGUGUGAUGGGGGAUGUGUUGGGUGUUUGAUCUAAACUGCUGCUUGGGUUGGCAUCCUUGCAGUGCUGAAGGGAACUGGUUUGUGUCAGAAGUGGUCACAUGAACAUAUUAGUUUGUGUUAAUGUGGGAUUAAAAA